Molecule: unclassified non-coding RNA, 3611 nt
Filed under: Portunus trituberculatus (swimming crab)
Lineage: Eukaryota; Metazoa; Arthropoda; Malacostraca; Decapoda; Portunidae
Description: protein CLEC16A homolog, transcript variant X3
Source: RNAcentral
GGAGUGUUAUUGUCUGAGUGAGAGGGUGUAAAUUACUCAUCCAGGUGUACAUUUCAGGUGUUCCCGGGUUAAUUAGUCACCCUGAGUGUACUUGAGAGGUGUACCGCAGUGCUUGAUAGGCCUGGGGAUCUAGUACACCCUAAAAAUCACCCAAAUUAGGCCUAAAAAGGGGAAAAAAUUAGACCUCCCAGGGUAGUGGUGGUGGUUGACAGUAUUUAGAGUGUAUAUUUUAAGGUGUAAAUAAGACAAAACGUGUUGUCUAGGGUGUAUUUAUUGGAUGUAUGUGUCUUUCUUAGGGUGUAUCUAGGGUGUAAGGGUGUGGUGGACCUUUGAUUAGGGUGUAGGUGAAAGAUUAGGGUGUAUUAGGACAGAUACGGGUAAUUUAGGUGUAAAUUGAAAGAAGUGUGUUUUCAGGGUGUAAGUGUGAGAGAUAGUGUUCCUAGGGUGUUUUGGGGCCUUUAGGGUGACUAGGGUGUGGGUUUAGGGUGUAUUGGAUUAACUAGGGUGUAUUUCAAAGGUGUAGGGAGAAAAAAUAGGGUGUUUUUCGAGUGUAAGAAGAAUUAGGGUGAGAAAUCAGGGUGUAUGUGUCCGUGUGUGAGAGAGAGGGAGAGUGAGAGAGAGAGAAGCAUGAGUGAGAGAGAGUGAGAGGGAGAGGGAGAGUUACAGCAUUGAUAGGUGAUAAAGAGGAAGAGGAGGAGGAGGAGGAGGGGGGCAGCCAUGUUGAAAGGAAGGGGGUGGUUUGGGGGGGGAGGCCUAUGGAGGAAGAACCCCCAUUCCCUGGACCAUUUGAGGUACCUGUACAAUGUGUUAAGCAAGAACCAGGUGGUGCAGGAAAGUAACCGCGGCCUGCUGGUGGAGACGCUGCGUUCCAUUGCCGAGAUACUCAUUUGGGGUGACCAGAAUGACUCAUCUGUGUUUGACUUCUUCCUGGAGAAAAACAUGCUGUCGUUCUUCCUGCCGAUAAUGAAGCAGAAAUGUGGAAGUUAUGUGUGUGUCCAGCUGCUCCAGACUCUCAACAUUCUCUUUGAAAACAUCCGUAAUGAGACUUCACUAUACUACCUCCUGUCAAACAACCAUGUGAACUCAAUCAUCGUGCACAAGUUUGAUUUCAGCGAUGAGGAGGUGAUGGCAUAUUACAUCUCCUUCCUCAAGACACUGUCACUCAAGCUCAACGCACACACCAUUCACUUCUUCUACAAUGAGCACACCAACGACUUCCCUCUGUACACGGAAGCCAUCAAAUUCUUCAACCAUCCGGAGAGCAUGGUUAGAAUCGCCGUUCGGACAUUAACUCUCAAUGUUUACCGAGUCAAUGACCAAUCGAUGCUGCAGUUCAUCCGAGAUCGCACCGCAGCCCCGUACUUCUCCAAUCUGGUGUGGUUCAUUGGUAACCACAUCCUGGAGCUGGAAAAUUGCGUCCGGGGCGAUGUGGACCACAACUCCCGCGGCAGACUGGAGGACCUGGUGGCGGAACAUCUUGACCACCUCCACUACAUCAACGAUAUUCUCAAGCUGAACAUUUCCACCCUCAAUGCUGUCCUGGCUGACCAUCUCUUAAACAGACUGCUGGUGCCUCUCCUGGUGUACUCUCUCAACCCACGGCAGGAGAAGGAUGACCGGCCCCGGAUCAGCAGUGUGGUGGCCCUGUUCCUCCUGGCCCAAGUGUUCCUCAUAGUGUCCCACGCUCCGCUGGUCCGCGCCCUUGCCAAAAUAAUCUUCCACGGUGAUAAUUCAAUAUUUGCGGAAGAUUCACAGGUUUUCAAGGGUCAUCGUUUUGUGCGUCGGGGUUUUGUGGCCCCUGAGGAACCCCUGGAGAAGUCCCUACAGGCAAGAACUCCAGGGGGGUCAGGGAACACCACCCCUCUCGCCACUGUGGAGGAGCCCAGUGGAGGAGGAAGAGCAGCAGCAGGAGGAGGUGGUGGAGGAGGAAGAGAAGAUGCGAAUUGUGAAGACCCCAUAGGCAUUUCCGAUCUUGCCGCCACACACGUCAACAUAACCGACGAGGAAAAGGAAAUGAUGCGAGCCACCACCACCACCACCACCACCACCACUGCCGCCACCUCCAGUGCUGUAUGCAUUAGUGAAAGAGAAGAAGAGGAAGGAAGAGGAGGAAGAGGAAGAGGAAGAGGAGGAGGAGGAGAGGAGGAGGAGGAGACAGCAGCAGGAGGAGGAGGAGGAGGAGGAUUAACAGAACUAUCUUUAAUAUCUCGUCCCUUCCUGCUUUCCACAAUUAACGCGCUGAGCUGUUCUGGCGACGAUUAUUCCUCUCUGUUUGCUCUGUCUCUCCUCUACGCCCUCGGACACAACCAGGGCAUCAACCAGGAGCUACUGGGCAUGGUGGUAGGGGGGAAGACCACCACCAAGGCAGUUUACGAUUCCCUAUUAGUGGACAAGAUGCUGGAAAUUAUCACUCUCUCUUGCCAAUACAACUCCAAAGUGCGUGUGGCAACCCUGGAGAUGGCGAUCCUGGUCCUGAAGCAGCUGGUAGGGGUCGGGGGGCCAGCUGGCGGCGGCGGCGGCAGCAGGAGACACACUUACCUUAGGGACAACCACCUGGCCAGCCUGGAGGGGGCCAAGGAGGAGGCCACGCUGAUGCUGAGAAAUUUCUAUAAGAGUGAAGAGAUAUUCCUUGACAUGUUUGAGGACGAGUGGGUGGAGUUACAUCGUCGCCCCUUGAACGUGGAGUACCUUCUGCAGGAUGCCUCGGUACUCCUCCCCCCCGCAGGCACUCCCCUUACUGGCAUCGACUUCAACAAGAGACUGCCCUGUGGUGAGGUAGAGAGGGCCAGAAGAGCCAUGAGGGUGUUUUUCCUGGUACGUGAGGUGAGCCUGGCGGUGCGUGAGGAGAAUGACUCACACCUCCCCCUCACCAACCCCGCCGCUUGUGUCCAGGUGGCUGAUGUCCUGGAUUUGAACAACAGUGACCUCAUCGCCUGUGUGGUUAUUCCUCGUGACGGCCAAAGGACAAAGAGAUUCUUGGUGAUCGACGUUAUCCAGCUUAUCUUAGUGGAGCCGGACUUGAGGAGGCUCGGCUGGGGUGUGGCCAAGUUCGUGGGGUUCCUGCAGGACUUGGAGGUGACUGGAGAUAAGGAUGAUUCACGAGUCCUCCACUUAACCAUCCAUCGUCCGUCUGCUUCCUCCGGCCGCCCCUCACAGCCCCUCCUUGCUGCUAAGUUCAUUUUUGAUGACCAUAUACGAUGCAUGGCCGCCAAACAGAGGCUCAUCAAGGGAAGAAUGAAAGCUCGACAGAAGAAACUGCAUCAGAUUGCCCGCUUGCUUGAGUUACCCAGCCACCUCCAGCCUUGCCCCUCUCCCCCUGCCCACGCCCUCCACACCAUGAGGCAGGAGGCCCAUCGGCAAGCGAGGAACCGGGUGUGGAAAUGACAAGAGGAGGAGGAGGAGGAGGAGGAGGAGGGGAAGGGGAAGAGGAGGAGGAGGAGGAGGAGGAGGAGGAGGAGGAUGGGAGGGAAGAGGAGGAGGAGGAAGAGGAGGGAAAAAAUUCAUUGGCCAGCGUCUAGGAAGGGUAGAUGCCCGGAGCAGAAGUGCCAUUCCACACCGACCUCUUUUCAGUGUGUCAGUAGUACCUGGCUUUGCCCUGAAGAAGGAGGGAG